Long non-coding RNA from Cynoglossus semilaevis (tongue sole), 1218 nucleotides. RefSeq lists it as uncharacterized. The record is from RefSeq and is a predicted model, not a curated record. The transcript is spliced from 2 exons. Lineage: Eukaryota; Metazoa; Chordata; Actinopteri; Pleuronectiformes; Cynoglossidae.
ACUCCUGUCAGGAUCCUUUUGACCAGUCACUGAAAUUUGUGUUUUGUAAUGUAAUUACAAUAUAAAUCUUGUCAUCUAUUUGCAGACUGUUCAUGAUUCACGGCCAGGCUGUCCAAAGACCAGACACGAACAGGAUUUCUGGAUGUGUGGCUCUGAGGCUGUUCAGAGAACACAGGGAAACCAGGAAUAGGACGAAGGACAACAGAAGAAAAACCUUUGGCAUUCCCCAGUCUGUUGUCACUGUUGACUUUUCCCCAUUAAAAACAGUCCUGGAGGACUGCAGGGACAUCAUGGAAAAAAUAGAUCUGCAGGUGCUUGUGGCUACGGAUUUCCUCCUAGAAGCCAGGGAACAACCAACCGAGCCUGUUCAUCACAAGCAUGCCCUUAUGGAGUUCCAGGAACCUGAGAAUCUUGAGGGUCAGUCAGUAUUCCGCCAGAGUCGCGGUGCCAGAGGUCCUUCUGCACAUGCGGACCCUGGGCCGCUGCAGAGGACUGGACAGGAAGGUGUAACAGCUAGUUACACUCAGUAACCUACCUCCACACCCUUUUUAUUCUCAGGGUUGGUUAAAUGCACACAUUUAAAAUGUCAAGGACCUACUAUGACUAUAACUGUACUUUUACUAUUUAUUAUUAUUUAUUACUAUUUAUUAUUAUUGUUUGUAUUUUGUAUGUUGACUGUAGCUGGAUUGUUGAUUGACUAAUCAUUGAAAUCAUUGUUUUGCUACUGCCCGCCUGCCCGUCCUGGGUGAGGAUCCCCUCCUCUGUCUUUCACCCUGAGGUUUCUCCCUUUUGUUUUCCCUAUUAGGGUUUUGUUGGGAGUUGUUCCUCAGCCGUUGCGAGGGUCUAUAAGGGCAGGGGGUGUUUACCACUGUUGCACUUUAUUGCUAUUUAACUGUUUGAAACAUUGUUACUCACAUUGAGUGUUGACUGAAGCUUGACUGUUGACUGACUGACUGACUCAAAUUGUGUCUUUGGAUGAAAAGAGACUGCUAAAUGUAUUGUAAAAUGUAAAUAUGUAAAUGUAAGGCAUUUGUAUUUCUGUGUAUUUGUAUAUAUGUACGAAUGUAUAUAGUUUUAUAAGUCCAUUGUACAGUUUGUAGUAGUAGUAGUAGUGGGCUGUAUGCACAUUUUUUUGUAUUGUUAAAAAUGUUCUUGUGUGGAGAUUGUGCACUAAAAGCUGAUUUUGCACUAAAAGCCUUUUACAUGGAACUUUGUAAA